This 261-nucleotide ribosomal RNA is filed under the name uncultured prokaryote. Its description in RNAcentral is "partial 16S ribosomal RNA". It matches the Rfam family "Bacterial small subunit ribosomal RNA", at positions 524 to 784 of the family's 1533-position model. The record is from RNAcentral.
UACGUAGGUGGCGAGCGUUGUCCGGAUUUGCUGGGCGUAAAGGGAGCGUAGGCGGACUUUUAAGUGAGAUGUGAAAUACCCGGGCUCAACUUGGGUGCUGCAUUUCAAACUGGAAGUCUAGAGUGCAGGAGAGGAGAAUGGAAUUCCUAGUGUAGCGGUGAAAUGCGUAGAGAUUAGGAAGAACACCAGUGGCGAAGGCGAUUCUCUGGACUGUAACUGACGCUGAGGCUCGAAAGCGUGGGGAGCAAACAGGAUUAGAUA